This 412-nucleotide ribosomal RNA is filed under the name uncultured bacterium. Its description in RNAcentral is "bacterial SSU rRNA". It matches the Rfam family "Bacterial small subunit ribosomal RNA", at positions 102 to 507 of the family's 1533-position model. The record is from RNAcentral.
ACGGGUGCGUAACGCGUAUGCAACCUACCUCUUACAGUGGGAUAGCCCAGAGUAAAUUUGGAUUAAUACCGCAUAGUAUACAGAUUCAGCAUUGGGACUGUAAUUAAACAUUUAUGGGUAAGAGAUGGGCAUGCGUUCUAUUAGUUAGUUGGAGUGGUAACGGCACCCCAAGACAGCGAUAGAGUAGGGGCCCUGAGAGGGGGGAUCCCCCCACACUGGUACUGAGACACGGACCAGACUCCUACGGGAGGCAGCAGUGAGGAAUAUUGGACAAUGGGCGAGAGCCUGAUCCAGCCAUGCCGCGUGCAGGAAGACGGCCCUAUGGGUUGUAAACUGCUUUUGUACGGGAAGAAACACCCCCUCGUGAGGGGGCUUGACGGUACCGUAAGAAUAAGGAUCGGCUAACUCCGUG